This 223-nucleotide long non-coding RNA is filed under the name Elaeis guineensis (African oil palm). RNAcentral describes it as "long non-coding RNA (EGUI_LNC046644)". Lineage: Eukaryota; Viridiplantae; Streptophyta; Magnoliopsida; Arecales; Arecaceae. The record is from RNAcentral.
AGUGCUACCUCAAGAACCAAGUACUGCAGUCAUUAAGCAAGUUAGACUUGAAAAUCCUACUGAGGAUACUUCACAUAAAUUUUUGAAUUACACGGACGUAGAUGACAUAGAGAAGCUAAGUGAUCUAUUAGACCCACCAUGGAUAACAAAGCAGGAGCCAUUUUUAGAAUCAUUUGGUAUUAUCUUAGCCCUUGCACUAGAAACAACACCUACCUUGCAACCC